Molecule: ribosomal RNA, 462 nt
Filed under: uncultured bacterium
Lineage: Bacteria
Description: SSU rRNA
Rfam family: Bacterial small subunit ribosomal RNA
Source: RNAcentral
AGAGCGAACGCUGGCGGCAGGCCUAAUACAUGCAAGUCGAACGGAUCCUUCGGGAUUAGUGGCGGACGGGUGAGUAACACGUGGGAACGUGCCCUUUGGUUCGGAACAACUCAGGGAAACUUGAGCUAAUACCGAAUGAGCCCCCAUCCUUAAACAAGAUGGGUGGGAAAGAUUUAUCGCCAUUGGAGCGGCCCGCGUCUGAUUAGCUAGUUGGUGGGGUAAAGGCCCACCAAGGCGACGAUCAGUAGCUGGUCUGAGAGGAUGAUCAGCCACACUGGGACUGAGACACGGCCCAGACUCCUACGGGAGGCAGCAGUAGGGAAUCUUGCGCAAUGGGCGAAAGCCUGACGCAGCCAUGCCGCGUGAAUGAUGAAGGUCUUAGGAUUGUAAAAUUCUUUCAGCGGGGACGAUAAUGACGGUACCCGCAGAAGAAGCCCCGGCUAACUUCGCGCCAGCAGCCGC